RNAcentral lists this ribosomal RNA (600 nucleotides) under uncultured bacterium. RNAcentral describes it as "bacterial SSU rRNA". It matches the Rfam family "Bacterial small subunit ribosomal RNA", at positions 76 to 673 of the family's 1533-position model. The record is from RNAcentral.
UUGCUCCCCGGGUGACGAGCGGCGGACGGGUGAGUAAUGUCUGGGAAACUGCCUGAUGGAGGGGGAUAACUACUGGAAACGGUAGCUAAUACCGCAUAACGUCGCAAGACCAAAGAGGGGGACCUUCGGGCCUCUUGCCAUCAGAUGUGCCCAGAUGGGAUUAGCUAGUAGGUGGGGUAAUGGCUCACCUAGGCGACGAUCCCUAGCUGGUCUGAGAGGAUGACCAGCCACACUGGAACUGAGACACGGUCCAGACUCCUACGGGAGGCAGCAGUGGGGAAUAUUGCACAAUGGGCGCAAGCCUGAUGCAGCCAUGCCGCGUGUGUGAAGAAGGCCUUCGGGUUGUAAAGCACUUUCAGCGAGGAGGAAGGUGGUGAGCUUAAUACGCUCAUCAAUUGACGUUACUCGCAGAAGAAGCACCGGCUAACUCCGUGCCAGCAGCCGCGGUAAUACGGAGGGUGCAAGCGUUAAUCGGAAUUACUGGGCGUAAAGCGCACGCAGGCGGUUUGUUAAGUCAGAUGUGAAAUCCCCGGGCUCAACCUGGGAACUGCAUUUGAAACUGGCAAGCUAGAGUCUCGUAGAGGGGGGUAGAAUUCCAGG